Long non-coding RNA from Magnolia sinica, 731 nucleotides. RefSeq lists it as uncharacterized. The transcript is spliced from 4 exons. The record is from RefSeq and is a predicted model, not a curated record. NCBI's taxonomy places the organism in Eukaryota, Viridiplantae, Streptophyta, Magnoliopsida, Magnoliales, Magnoliaceae.
GUUGCAAUGUUGCUCUUCGUAAAAAAGAAAUCACUAUUAUUAACUUGUUUUGUGUUUGUAACAUUGUCUUGUAAGAAAUAAAGUGCACUAAUGUAACCUUAUACUUUUUAAUAAUACCUUAUAACAAGGUACAUUACCAAUCAGAUUUUCUGGCACAUGCACACCAAGGAAUAUUUUCAGCAAGCUUCUGAUGGAUGAAGAGAGUGACUCUUUUUUUAGGCUCAAUCACUACCCUCCAUGACCUGAACUUAAAGCAUUGAGUUGCAACUUAACUGGUUUUGGAGAACACACUGACCCUCAGAUAAUAUCAGUUCUGAGAUCAAACAAUACAUCAGGCCUUCAAAUCUCUCUCAGUGAUGGGAGCUGGGUUUCAGUCCCACCUGACCACAACUCCUUUGUCAUUGUUGGUUAUUCCUCGCAGGUAUGGGCAAACAAAGCCAGUUUAUGCAUAUCGUUUGAUGGCACAUGGAACUAUGGAAGAAAAACUAUAUAAACGGCAGUUGGAAUGCUGAAGUUUAAAGAAUUAGUAGAGGCUUCUAUUGUGGUUCUCAGAUGUCGAAGAGCAUCAAAGCAUGCCUGCCCACUUUCAGUCCCAACUGAUUUGCUACUGGUCUACUUGUUGAGGAGACAUUGUCUGGUGCACCAGUCCAUACAGAUAAGGAGCCUCCUCAUUGUUGAAACAAAGGUAAUUAAACACCUGGGUUGGAGUUGAGUAAAUAUAGACAACACAG